CAAUAGCGUAUAUUAAAGUUGUUGACGGUUAAAAAGCUCGUAGUUGGAUUUCUGCUUGGGGCGGCCGAUGUGCCUCCUGGGUUACAGCCGGUUCGGCCUGAGCAUCUUCGUUGGGGGCUGUGUCUGCACUUGAUUGUGUGGCACGGGUUCCAGGUACUUUUACUUUGAGGAAAUUAGAGUGUUUCACGCAGGCGUCCGCCUUGAAUACGUUAGCAUGGAAUAAUGCGACAGGACCUCGGUCCAUUUUGUUGGUUUCUUGGGUUGAGGUAAUGAUUAACAGGGAUGGGUUGGGGGCAUUCGUAUUUAACUGUCAGAGGUGAAAUUCUUGGAUUUGUUAAAGACGAUCUACUGCGAAAGCAUUUGCCAAGGAUGUUUUCAUUGAUCAAGAACGAAAGUUAGGGGAUCGAAGACGAUUAGAUACCAU
This 424-nucleotide ribosomal RNA is filed under the name uncultured eukaryote. RNAcentral describes it as "SSU rRNA". It matches the Rfam family "Eukaryotic small subunit ribosomal RNA", at positions 592 to 1018 of the family's 1831-position model. The record is from RNAcentral.